AACGAACGCUGGCGGCAUGCCUAACACAUGCAAGUCGAACGGGAUCCUAGCUUGCUAGGUGAGAGUGGCGGACGGGUGAGUAACACGUGGGAAUCUGCCUUUUGGUUCGGGAUAACCGCGGGAAACUGCGGCUAAUACCGAAUGCCCUCGAGAGAGGAAAGAUUUAUCGCCAGAAGAGGAGCCCGCGUCCGAUUAGGUAGUUGGUGGGGUAAAGGCCUACCAAGCCGACGAUCGGUAGCUGGUCUGAGAGGAUGAUCAGCCACACUGGGACUGAGAUACGGCCCAGACUCCUACGGGAGGCAGCAGUGGGGAAUAUUGGACAAUGGGGCGAACCCUGAUCCAGCAAUGCCGCGUGAGUGAUGAAGGCCUUAGGGUUGUAAGACUCUUUUGUCCAGGGAAGAUGAUGACUGUACCUGGAGAAUAAGACCCCGGCGUAACUCCGUGCCAGCAGCCGCGGUAA
This 460-nucleotide ribosomal RNA is filed under the name uncultured bacterium. Its description in RNAcentral is "bacterial SSU rRNA". It matches the Rfam family "Bacterial small subunit ribosomal RNA", at positions 29 to 523 of the family's 1533-position model. The record is from RNAcentral.